This 460-nucleotide ribosomal RNA is filed under the name uncultured bacterium. RNAcentral's name for it is "partial 16S ribosomal RNA". It matches the Rfam family "Bacterial small subunit ribosomal RNA", at positions 338 to 795 of the family's 1533-position model. The record is from RNAcentral.
CCUACGGGGCGCAGCAGUGAGGAAUAUUGGUCAAUGGACGCAAGUCUGAACCAGCCAUGCCGCGUGCAGGAAGACGGCUCUAUGAGUUGUAAACUGCUUUUGUAUGAGGGUAAACGCAGAUACGCGUAUCUGUCUGAAAGUAUCGUACGAAUAAGGAUCGGCUAACUCCGUGCCAGCAGCCGCGGUAAUACGGAGGAUUCAAGCGUUAUCCGGAUUUAUUGGGUUUAAAGGGUGCGUAGGCGGUCGGAUAAGUUAGAGGUGAAAUCCUGAGGCUCAACUUCGGAAUUGCCUCUGAUACUGGUCGGCUAGAGAGUAGUUGCGGUAGGCGGAAUGUAUGGUGUAGCGGUGAAAUGCUUAGAGAUCAUGCAGAACACCGAUUGCGAAGGCAGCUUACCGGGCUACUACUGACGUUGAGGCACGAAAGCGUGGGUAGCAAACAGGAUUAGAUACCCGGGUAGUC